UACGAGUGCCCCAAGCGUUAUCCGGAAUUAUUGGGCGUAAAGGGUGUGUAGGUGGUCUUGUUAGUCCUCUGUGAAAUUCUUCGGCUUAACCGGGGGUCCGCAGGGGAAACGGCAGGACUAGAGGAUGCGAGGGGUGUGCGGAACUCAUGGUGUAGGGGUGAAAUCCGUUGAUAUCAUGGGGAACACCAAAAGCGAAGGCAGCACACUGGCGCACUCCUGACACUGAAACACGAAAGCGUGGGUAGCGAAUGGG
This 253-nucleotide ribosomal RNA is filed under the name uncultured bacterium. RNAcentral describes it as "partial 16S ribosomal RNA". It matches the Rfam family "Bacterial small subunit ribosomal RNA", at positions 524 to 776 of the family's 1533-position model. The record is from RNAcentral.